This 1363-nucleotide long non-coding RNA is filed under the name Salmo salar (Atlantic salmon). Its description in RNAcentral is "lncRNA (ENSSSAG00000110442.1)". The record is from RNAcentral. Lineage: Eukaryota; Metazoa; Chordata; Actinopteri; Salmoniformes; Salmonidae.
CCUGUACUGAGGUACACUUACACAGAGUUAUAAUGUUCAUUUGAACCAUGUUUAGUGUAUGCUAUUUGUUGUCAUCUUGACACAUUGUCAAACUGUAACCAAAAAGUUUGUAGAUCACGGUUGCUAUCGCAGCAGGUUCACUCGAGGGCUGGUACAGGAAAGUGGUCUAGCUGUUGUUGGGACACGUGACUGAGAAAAGACUGCGGCGAUCUGUUUUGACACGGGACAUUUCUAGAGAGAGGGGAAGAGAGCACACAAAACGAGUUUAUGGAUAAGAAAGAGCACACAAUAUAAUUUAGUUGCGAACGGUAUGCGCCUGUACUGUGUUAUUGAGUUGGACGAAGUUCGCUAGCCAGCGAACCGUUGAUUUGGAAGAAGGAAAAAAGCUCGCUAGCCACUGCGACAAGUUGGGAAAUAAAUGGUCAGCUUGUUUUCUGACAAACUUUUGAUAUGAGAGAAAGCUAGUCAACAAUAACUAGGUAACUGACACGAGACGUGGCUACUUUACCUCACUAUGUUUCAAGACGACAAGUGGAACCGAUGCUUCUGGACAACACGGCGUUUAGCUAACGUUGGCUGUUUUUCUGAAUGAUCGGGUGAAAUAGGUCUGUCCUUUACUCGAGCCCAUUGUUAUCGGAGGUGGAUCACUAGCUACCUGCGCGUUGGGGUGUUUUGUUUGAGAAGGUCGUCAUCAGAUCAGAUGCCUGUGUGUUGUUUGUUUGGUCAGCUAGCUAAAGCCACGUUAGCUAAGCCAAAUAGGUGAGGUUACAGGAGCACAGCAAGCUGAAAAAGAGAGAGAUGCUUCGUGACGGGACUACUGUCGUGGUUUUGGUGGUGGAAUUUGAGACGUUUAUUUUUGGGGGGUGGACAGCCAGAUUGUCAGCUCAAUGCCUUGUUGGCUAGCUAGGUGGUUGAUGAAGCAAUAACUCGGAGCUAAUCUAAUGUUUGACGGUCAGAUUUAGCUAGCUAGCUCAACUGUUCGUUGGCCAGUUAACAGUGGAUCUGACUCGAUGGACCUGUACAGUAGCAGUUUGGUAACAAAGCAUUGCUUUGUCGGGUAAAUUAGGGGGCGAUUGGCAGCAUACAGGCUACCCAGCUGGUAUUGUUGCUUAAUGCAAUAAGUCAGCAAUCCUUUGGAAGAUUUGGAUCCACACAGUCAGACACACAGCAGUAUAUUGCUGUCAGGGCUGUGUGGACGGGAGUCUUCAGACCGAAGACAGACAGACAGACAGAGGCUGCCGAGGCUGCCAGAUUCCCAGAGGGAUCCAGAUGACACUGGCUAACAUGAAACCAGAGCGAGAGGCAAGUCGAAGUUUGGAGCCGAAGUCUACACCCCUUCGUCAGGGAUUGGUCAACAGUAGGG